UACGUAGGGGGCAAGCGUUGUCCGGAAUCAUUGGGCGUAAAGCGCGUGUAGGCGGCCCGGUAAGUCCGCUGUGAAAGUCGGGGGCUCAACCCUCGAAUGCCGGUGGAUACUGUCGGGCUAGAGUGCGGAAGAGGCGAGUGGAAUUCCUGGUGUAGCGGUGAAAUGCGCAGAUAUCAGGAGGAACACCAAUUGCGAAGGCAGCUCGCUGGGACGUGACUGACGCUGAGACGCGAAAGCGUGGGGAGCGAACGGG
This 253-nucleotide ribosomal RNA is filed under the name uncultured bacterium. RNAcentral describes it as "partial 16S ribosomal RNA". It matches the Rfam family "Bacterial small subunit ribosomal RNA", at positions 524 to 776 of the family's 1533-position model. The record is from RNAcentral.